UGUGUGUGUGUGUGUGUGUGUGUGUGUGUGUGUGUGUGUGUGUGUGUGUGUGUGUGUGUGUGCUGUCACUACCCCAGUUCUGGCCCUGAGGCUCUGAGUCAUCUUUCUGCUAGAGGUCACCCUGGGUUGUUCACUUUUAAGGCGAAUUUCCUGCAAUUCAACACAUUUUGCCAUGGCUUAUGCUAUCUGAGUGCCGUGUCUUGACAUUUUGGGAAUGUCAGAUUCUCCCUGACUGUCUAGUUUUAUUUUGGUGAUUGUUAGUUCUCAAAGAUGAUCUUAUUAAAAUAUAUUGCCAUAUUAUCUUUUCUACAUAUUUUAUAUCUGGUUAUAGUCGUUUAAGUUUACACUGACAAUGUUUUACCAUCCCGAAAAUUAUAUACAUUUUAUAUCCGUAUAUGAAAGUAAAAAGACAUGAGAAUUUACCCCAAUCCUGCUAUCAAACUAUUAAACCAGGCUGACAACAGAAUCCCACAUGUGAUUAAUGAUUUUGUGAGUGUUCCAGGGUAACCCAGUGAUGUAAUGAUGUCGUGAGUGUUCCAGUGUAACCCAGUGUUGUAAUGAUUUUGUGAGUGUUCCAG
RNAcentral lists this long non-coding RNA (578 nucleotides) under Salmo salar (Atlantic salmon). Its description in RNAcentral is "lncRNA (ENSSSAG00000107014.1)". Lineage: Eukaryota; Metazoa; Chordata; Actinopteri; Salmoniformes; Salmonidae. The record is from RNAcentral.